AGAGCGAACGCUGGCGGCAGGCUUAACACAUGCAAGUCGAGCGGGCGUAGCAAUACGUCAGCGGCAGACGGGUGAGUAACGCGUGGGAACGUACCUUUUGGUUCGGAACAACCCAGGGAAACUUGGGCUAAUACCGGAUAAGCCCUUACGGGGAAAGAUUUAUCGCCGAAAGAUCGGCCCGCGUCUGAUUAGCUAGUUGGUGAGGUAAUGGCUCACCAAGGCGACGAUCAGUAGCUGGUCUGAGAGGAUGAUCAGCCACAUUGGGACUGAGACACGGCCCAAACUCCUACGGGAGGCAGCAGUGGGAAUAUGGACAAUGGGCGCAAGCCUGAUCCAGCCAUGCCGCGUGAGUGAUGAAGGCCCUAGGGUUGUAAAGCUCUUUGUGCGGGAAGAUAAUGACGGUACCGCAAGAAUAACGCCCCGGCUAACUUCGUGCCAGCAGCCGC
Molecule: ribosomal RNA, 446 nt
Filed under: uncultured bacterium
Lineage: Bacteria
Description: SSU rRNA
Rfam family: Bacterial small subunit ribosomal RNA
Source: RNAcentral